CUUCCUUCAAACAUACUUACCCAAAGCCACCUCCUCCCCACCACAAGCUGUUACUGCUCACCCUUCUCCCCAUGUCCUCUUCCUAACUACACAAUGAGCCAGCACAGCCCUAGCCACAGCUCCCUGGAAAUGGAACUAGGGUCCUAGCUUCGAGGAGACAUAGCCGAGUUCACACCUCCUUACCAGUUCUCUGUCCUAGAAAACUCAUUGUGCCUCUCAGGGCCUCCCCAGUCUCCCAACCUGCACAAUGGAGAUCAGACUGGAAUCUACUUCCUAGUCACCAGGUGUAUGGGAGAUAAUAUCUAUAACACCUGUGGGCUGCCGUCAUGUGUAUCUAAGGCACAAACUUAGAGAUGGGAGAAUUACAAGAGGAGAUAGGAUGUAGCGUGGAACACCACUCAAAACAGGCCUGGGCUCCAGCAGUGUGAUAUUGGAACAGCCACUUCUAACUUGGCCUCAUUUGAGUGUCAGAACCAUGAGGGGGUUAAUGAACAAAAUUCAGACACUGUCAUCCUCUGGAUUAAAACCUUUCAAUUGUUUCCUGUUUUAUUUAGAGUGAGACCCAAGUGCCUCACCUCAGCCUAUGAGGUGGGCAGCCUCCACAGUGAUACCCAGUGACCCCACCUAUGGUAUACACUUCCCUUCCACAUUCCUGUGCAACCACUGAGUGGUUAGUGACUGGCUUCUGACCAGUAGAAUACAGCCAAUGGGAUGGGAUGCCAGGUCUAAGUUUUAAACACAGUCUCUCACUUCCUUCUUACUCCCUCUCUUGUGUUCCACCUCUCUCUCUCCCCCUGUGUGUCUCUCUGUCUCUGUCUCUCACUGUAGUGUCCCUGAGCUGAGGAACCAAGCACAGACGUUUUGUGCGGCCCUACAUAGGGGCCCACACAGGAGAGAACCUAGGCAGUGGCCAGGCCAACAGAUGGAAAGGAACUCGCGGUCUGAGCCAAGUCAGCAUCCUGAAUCCAAUUGAAAGCUCCUGGAAGACAGAGACCACUUGGCCAUUUUCAGCUCUGGACUUGGACCCUCCGAGGCACCUGGCACAGGUUAAACUUAGAGACAUGAGCCAGCACUCCCACUUCUCUGCCCCGUGCAUGCUGCUGGACAAGCGGUCGGAGCUCUGGAAACACUCGGCGAGUCAAAACCCUUUCCCCAUCACUGCUGCAGCAUGCCGCAGCCUAUGCUCUGGAUGGCCCUGGCUCCUCUGCUAGCCGCCCUCGAUGCAGGUGAGUCAGCAACAAGAUCAGUGAAAUAAUGGCCGUGACUUCUGGGUGCAUGCUGUGUGCUGGGGCCUCUGGCCUCUACCUGCAUUCUUUGUAAGACCUCUUGUCAGCUCUGUGCAUACAUAUGACCAACAUUCUCUUUCCAGAUGAGAACACUCGGGGCUCAGAGAGAGCUAAUCGCUUG
This 1407-nucleotide long non-coding RNA is filed under the name Equus caballus (horse). RNAcentral's name for it is "lncRNA (ENSECAG00000059560.1)". Lineage: Eukaryota; Metazoa; Chordata; Mammalia; Perissodactyla; Equidae. The record is from RNAcentral.